GGGCGCGUAGCUCAGUUGGUAGAGCAUCGGACUUUUAAUCCGUGGGUCCCGAGUUCGAGUCUCGGCGCGCUCAC
Molecule: transfer RNA, 74 nt
Filed under: compost metagenome
Description: tRNA-Lys
Rfam family: tRNA
About the family: Transfer RNA (tRNA) molecules are approximately 80 nucleotides in length.
Source: RNAcentral